This 978-nucleotide ribosomal RNA is filed under the name Cortinarius cruentoides. RNAcentral's name for it is "eukaryotic LSU rRNA". It matches the Rfam family "Eukaryotic large subunit ribosomal RNA", at positions 1 to 964 of the family's 3401-position model. Lineage: Eukaryota; Fungi; Basidiomycota; Agaricomycetes; Agaricales; Cortinariaceae. The record is from RNAcentral.
GUGACCUCAAAUCAGGUAGGACUACCCGCUGAACUUAAGCAUAUCAAUAAGCGGAGGAAAAGAAACUAACAAGGAUUCCCCUAGUAACUGCGAGUGAAGCGGGAAAAGCUCAAAUUUAAAAUCUGGCAGUCUAUGGCUGUCCGAGUUGUAAUCUAGAGAAGCGUUAUCCGCGCUGGACCGUGUACAAGUCUCCUGGAAUGGAGCGUCAUAGAGGGUGAGAAUCCCGUCUUUGACACGGACUACCAGGGCUUUGUGAUGCGCUCUCAAAGAGUCGAGUUGUUUGGGAAUGCAGCUCAAAAUGGGUGGUAAAUUCCAUCUAAAGCUAAAUAUUGGCGAGAGACCGAUAGCGAACAAGUACCGUGAGGGAAAGAUGAAAAGAACUUUGGAAAGAGAGUUAAACAGUACGUGAAAUUGCUGAAAGGGAAACGCUUGAAGUCAGUCGCGUUGUCCAGGGAUCAACCUUGCUUUUGCUUGGUGCACUUUCUGGUUGACGGGUCAGCAUCAAUUUUGACUAUUGGAAAAAGAUUAGGGGAAUGUGGCAUCUUUGGAUGUGUUAUAGCCCUUAGUUGCAUACAAUGGUUGGGAUUGAGGAACUCAGCACGCCGCAAGGCCGGGUUUUUAACCACGUACGUGCUUAGGAUGCUGGCAUAAUGGCUUUAAUCGACCCGUCUUGAAACACGGACCAAGGAGUCUAACAUGCCUGCGAGUGUUUGGGUGGAAAACCCGAGCGCGUAAUGAAAGUGAAAGUUGAGAUCCCUGUCGUGGGGAGCAUCGACGCCCGGACCAGACCUUUUGUGACGGUUCCGCGGUAGAGCAUGUAUGUUGGGACCCGAAAGAUGGUGAACUAUGCCUGAAUAGGGUGAAGCCAGAGGAAACUCUGGUGGAGGCUCGUAGCGAUUCUGACGUGCAAAUCGAUCGUCAAAUUUGGGUAUAGGGGCGAAAGACUAAUCGAACCAUCUAGUAGCUGGUUCCUGCCGA